RNAcentral lists this ribosomal RNA (126 nucleotides) under Dasypus novemcinctus (nine-banded armadillo). The record is from RNAcentral. Lineage: Eukaryota; Metazoa; Chordata; Mammalia; Cingulata; Dasypodidae.
AUCUAUGGCUAUAACACAAUGAACAUAUUCAAUGUAGACUGAUGUCUGAUCUCUAAAGCUAAUCCUGGUGAGGUCUGGUUAGUACCUGGAUGGGAGACUGCUUGGGAAUACUAGGUGUAGUAGGUU